UACGAAGGGUGCAAGCGUUAAUCGGAAUUACUGGGCGUAAAGGGUGCGUAGGCGGUUAUUUAAGUCUGGCGUGAAAUCCCCGGGCUCAACCUGGGAAUGGCGGUGGAUACUGGAUAGCUAGAGUGUGUCAGAGGAUGGUGGAAUUCCCGGUGUAGCGGUGAAAUGCGUAGAGAUCGGGAGGAACAUCAGUGGCGAAGGCGGCCAUCUGGGACAACACUGACGCUGAAGCACGAAAGCGUGGGGAGCAAACAGG
RNAcentral lists this ribosomal RNA (253 nucleotides) under uncultured bacterium. Its description in RNAcentral is "partial 16S ribosomal RNA". It matches the Rfam family "Bacterial small subunit ribosomal RNA", at positions 524 to 776 of the family's 1533-position model. The record is from RNAcentral.